GCGGUUAGGUGACUAAUCGGCUGUGUAAACCCCACUCGGAGCAAGGCCAAGUUAGGAUUAAAAGAGUAUUGCUCGUACUCUCCGGUUGGUAGGCCGCUUGAACUUAUUGGUGACAAUAAGUCUAGAAAGAUGAUUAUCUAAUACAGAACUCCGCUUAUAGAUUUGCUCGAUUU
Molecule: RNase P RNA, 173 nt
Filed under: Peptostreptococcaceae bacterium
Lineage: Bacteria; Bacillati; Bacillota; Clostridia; Peptostreptococcales; Peptostreptococcaceae
Description: partial RNase P RNA component class A
Rfam family: Bacterial RNase P class A
About the family: Ribonuclease P (RNase P) is a ubiquitous endoribonuclease, found in archaea, bacteria and eukarya as well as chloroplasts and mitochondria. Its best characterised activity is the generation of mature 5'-ends of tRNAs by cleaving the 5'-leader elements of precursor-tRNAs.
Source: RNAcentral